CAGUUCGGAUCGGAGUCUGCAACCCGACUCCGUGAAGCUGGAUUCGCUAGUAAUCGCGCAUCAGCCAUGGCGCGGUGAAUACGUUCCCGGGCCUUGUACACACCGCCCGUCAAGCCAUGGAAGCCGGGGGCGCUUGAAGUGCGUUGCCGCAAGGCGCGCCCUAGAGCGAAACCGGUGACUGGGGCUAAGUCGUAACAAGGUACC
This 204-nucleotide ribosomal RNA is filed under the name uncultured bacterium. RNAcentral describes it as "partial 16S ribosomal RNA". It matches the Rfam family "Bacterial small subunit ribosomal RNA", at positions 1289 to 1500 of the family's 1533-position model. The record is from RNAcentral.